Molecule: transfer RNA, 74 nt
Filed under: Podarcis lilfordi (Lilford's wall lizard)
Lineage: Eukaryota; Metazoa; Chordata; Lepidosauria; Squamata; Lacertidae
Description: tRNA.Ala
Rfam family: tRNA (bases 10-66)
About the family: Transfer RNA (tRNA) molecules are approximately 80 nucleotides in length. Their secondary structure includes four short double-helical elements and three loops (D, anti-codon, and T loops). Further hydrogen bonds mediate the characteristic L-shaped molecular structure. tRNAs have two regions of fundamental functional importance: the anti-codon, which is responsible for specific mRNA codon recognition, and the 3' end, to which the tRNAs corresponding amino acid is attached (by aminoacyl-tRNA synthetases). tRNAs cope with the degeneracy of the genetic code in two manners: having more than one tRNA (with a specific anti-codon) for a particular amino acid; and 'wobble' base-pairing, i.e. permitting non-standard base-pairing at the 3rd anti-codon position.
Source: RNAcentral
GAAGGGCCAUAGUUCAGUGGUAGAGCAUCUGCUUGGCAUACAGAAGGUCACAGGUUCAAUCCCUGGCAUCUUCA